ACGUAGGGUGCGAGCGUUAAUCGGAAUUACUGGGCGUAAAGCGUGCGCAGGCGGUUUUGUAAGCCAGUCGUGAAAUCCCCAGGCUUAACCUGGGAAUGGCGAUUGGGACUGCAAGGCUGGAGUAUGGCAGAGGGGACUGGAAUUCCUGGUGUAGCAGUGAAAUGCGUAGAUAUCAGGAGGAAUACCGAUGGCGAAGGCAGGUCCCUGGGCUGAUACUGACGCUCAUGCACGAAAGCGUGGGGAGCAAACAGGAUUAGAUACCCUGGUAGUCCACGCCCCAAACGAUGUCAACUGGUUGUUGGGAGGGUUUCUUCUCAGUAACGUAGCUAACGCGUGAAGUUGACCGCCUGGGGAGUACGGCCGCAAGGUUG
Molecule: ribosomal RNA, 371 nt
Filed under: uncultured bacterium
Lineage: Bacteria
Description: bacterial SSU rRNA
Rfam family: Bacterial small subunit ribosomal RNA
Source: RNAcentral